Oncorhynchus tshawytscha (Chinook salmon) is the source of this 566-nucleotide long non-coding RNA. NCBI's taxonomy places the organism in Eukaryota, Metazoa, Chordata, Actinopteri, Salmoniformes, Salmonidae. The record is from Ensembl.
GAUAGCAGAAUUUAUCAGGUGUCUGGCAGUUAGCCAUUUUCUGAUCACGCUUAUUCCUCAUGGUACCCACUUGCGUUCCAUUGCUCAGGAAGACAAGAAGGAAUACUCCGGUUUUAACUUUAUUGAAGCUAUAUGUUAAAAACAUCCUAAUGAUUGAUUCUGUACUUAGUUUGAAAUGUUUCUUCGUCCUGUAAUGUAACUUUUUGACGUUUUUGUCCGAUGUAACGCUGACCAGAAUGAGCGCUUGGAUAUGUAUACCAAACACGCUAACAAAAGAAGGUAUUUGGACAUAAAUAACGGACAUUAUCAAACAAAACAAACAUUUAUUGUGGACCUGGGAUUCCUGGAGUGCUUUCUGAUGUAGAUCAUCAAAGCCUACUUCUUCGCUGAAAUGCCUGUGAGAUGGACCAAUCACGUGACCGGCAUUGGCUACAUCUGAAGGAGCCAUGUGAGUGAGAGGUUCUUCGGAGCGAGGCCUACUACAACUACCCUAUAAGCAGCCAAGACACUCCCCGCCACUCAAGAAUCUGAGCCUGCCUGGCAGGUUUGGUCCAACAAAACCAAAG